GAUGAACGCUGGCGGCGUGCCUAAUACAUGCAAGUCGAGCGAAAAGACGAGGAUCUUGCUCCUCGGACGUUAGCGGCGGGCGGGUGAGUAACAAGUGGGUAACCAACCUAUCUGACUGGGAGAACUACGGGAAACCGGAGCUGAUAAAGGAUAAUAUAAUGAACCGCAGGGUUCCAUAGUGCAAGGAGGUUUUGUUGGCAGUUAUAGAGGGAUCCGCGCCGCAUUCGCUAGUUGGUAGGGUAACGGCUUACAAAGGCAACGCGGCGGGGCCGACCGGAGAGGGUGGUCGGCCACACUGGAACUGAACUGCGGUCCAGACCCCUACGGGACGGAACAGUGGGGUAUGUUCCGCAAUGCGCGGAAGCCUGACGGGACCACGCCGCGUCGGGGAUGAAGGUCUUCUGUUCGUAAUACUCUGUUAUUUUGGAAGAACAAAUGUGUAAGUAACGAUGCACUUCUUGACGGUACCGAAUCAGAAAGCCACGGCUAACUACGUG
This 497-nucleotide ribosomal RNA is filed under the name uncultured bacterium. RNAcentral's name for it is "partial 16S ribosomal RNA". It matches the Rfam family "Bacterial small subunit ribosomal RNA", at positions 28 to 507 of the family's 1533-position model. The record is from RNAcentral.